Molecule: transfer RNA, 57 nt
Filed under: Ovis aries (sheep)
Lineage: Eukaryota; Metazoa; Chordata; Mammalia; Artiodactyla; Bovidae
Rfam family: tRNA
About the family: Transfer RNA (tRNA) molecules are approximately 80 nucleotides in length. Their secondary structure includes four short double-helical elements and three loops (D, anti-codon, and T loops).
Source: Rfam by way of RNAcentral
UGGCUCAGAGGUUAAAGCGUCUGCCUGGAAUGCAGGAGAACCUGGUUCGAUCCCUGG